Molecule: ribosomal RNA, 485 nt
Filed under: uncultured bacterium
Lineage: Bacteria
Description: bacterial SSU rRNA
Rfam family: Bacterial small subunit ribosomal RNA
Source: RNAcentral
GAUGAACGCUAGCUACAGGCUUAACACAUGCAAGUCGAGGGGCAGCACAGUGUAGCAAUACAGUGGGUGGCGACCGGCGCGACGGGUGCGUAACGCGUAUCCAACCUUCCCGUUACUCUUGGAUAGCCUUCCGAAAGGGAGAUUAAUACAAGAUGGUGUUGAAAUUCCGCAUUGGUACAGCGACCAAAGAAUUUCGGUAUGGGAUGGGGAUGCGUUCCAUUAGCUUGUUGGCGGGUAACGGCCCACCAAGGCGACGAUGGAUAGGGGUUCUGAGAGGAAGGUCCCCCACACUGGAACUGAGACACGGUCCAGACUCCUACGGGAGGCAGCAGUGAGGAAUAUUGGUCAAUGGGCGCGAGCCUGAACCAGCCAAGUAGCGUGAAGGAAGACUGCCCUACGGGUUGUAAACUUCUUUAUACGGGAAUAAAGUGCCUUACGUGUAGGGUUUGUAUGUACCGUAUGAAUAAGCAUCGGCUAAUUCCGUG